This 578-nucleotide ribosomal RNA is filed under the name uncultured soil bacterium. RNAcentral's name for it is "bacterial SSU rRNA". It matches the Rfam family "Bacterial small subunit ribosomal RNA", at positions 35 to 657 of the family's 1533-position model. The record is from RNAcentral.
GCUGGCGGCAGGCUUAACACAUGCAAGUCGAGCGGGCGUAGCAAUACGUCAGCGGCAGACGGGUGAGUAACGCGUGGGAACGUACCUUUUGGUUCGGAACAACCCAGGGAAACUUGGGCUAAUACCGGAUAAGCCCUUACGGGGAAAGAUUUAUCGCCGAAAGAUCGGCCCGCGUCUGAUUAGCUAGUUGGUGAGGUAAUGGCUCACCAAGGCGACGAUCAGUAGCUGGUCUGAGAGGAUGAUCAGCCACAUUGGGACUGAGACACGGCCCAAACUCCUACGGGAGGCAGCAGUGGGGAAUAUUGGACAAUGGGCGCAAGCCUGAUCCAGCCAUGCCGCGUGAGUGAUGAAGGCCCUAGGGUUGUAAAGCUCUUUUGUGCGGGAAGAUAAUGACGGUACCGCAAGAAUAAGCCCCGGCUAACUUCGUGCCAGCAGCCGCGGUAAUACGAAGGGGGCUAGCGUUGCUCGGAAUCACUGGGCGUAAAGGGUGCGUAGGCGGGUCUUUAAGUCAGGGGUGAAAUCCUGGAGCUCAACUCCAGAACUGCCUUUGAUACUGAAGAUCUUGAGUUCGGGAGAGG